GGCCGCUUCGGUGGCUUAGUGGUUAGAGCGACAGCCCCGGAUGCGGGAGGUCGUGGAUUCGAUCCCCGGUUGAGUCA
Non-coding RNA from Potamilus streckersoni, 77 nucleotides. The record is from the annotation of a GenBank genome assembly. Lineage: Eukaryota; Metazoa; Mollusca; Bivalvia; Unionida; Unionidae.